GACGAACGCUGGCGGCGUGCUUAACACAUGCAAGUCGAACGGAAAGGCCCUGCUUUUGUGGGUUGCUCGAUAGGCGAACGGGUGAGUAACACGUGAGUAACCUGUCCCUGACAUUGGGAUAACUUCAGGAAACUCGGGCUAAUACCGGAUAUGAGCUCUUGCUGCAUGUGGGGGGUUGGAAAGUUUCGGCGGUAGGGGAUGGACUCGCUGCUUAUCAGCUUGUUGGUGAGGUAGUGGCGUACCAAGGUUUCGACGGGUAGCCGGCAUGGGAGGGUGACCGGCCACAUUGGGACUACGAUACGGACCAGACUCCUACCGGCGGCAGCAGUGGAAAGCAUUACGCAAUGAGCCGAAGCCUGAUACGACGGCGCCGGGUGCGGGAUGCCGGCCUACGAGUUGAGAACCGCUUUCGCCUGUGCCGAGGCGUGAUUGACGGUAAUGGGUAAGAAAGCACCGGCUAACUACGUG
Molecule: ribosomal RNA, 468 nt
Filed under: uncultured bacterium
Lineage: Bacteria
Description: partial 16S ribosomal RNA
Rfam family: Bacterial small subunit ribosomal RNA
Source: RNAcentral